UGGUGGAGUGAUUUGUCUGGUUAAUUCCGUUAACGAACGAGACCUCAGCCUGCUAAAUAGUCACCAGUACCUUCUACCAGGUGAAGCGUACGAUGCGGGGCGGUGGUUUACCAUCGUCUCCUCGUGCGUGGAUCCUUGAUGCGUACUGGACCCGACUUCUUAGAGGGACUAUUGGUGUCUAACCAAUGGAAGUUUGAGGCAAUAACA
Molecule: ribosomal RNA, 207 nt
Filed under: uncultured eukaryote
Lineage: Eukaryota
Description: partial 18S ribosomal RNA
Rfam family: Eukaryotic small subunit ribosomal RNA
Source: RNAcentral